This 466-nucleotide ribosomal RNA is filed under the name uncultured bacterium. Its description in RNAcentral is "partial 16S ribosomal RNA". It matches the Rfam family "Bacterial small subunit ribosomal RNA", at positions 330 to 792 of the family's 1533-position model. The record is from RNAcentral.
UCCAGACUCCUACGGGAGGCAGCAGUGAGGAAUAUUGGUCAAUGGGCGGAAGCCUGAACCAGCCAAGUCGCGUGAGGGAAGAAGGCCCUGCGGGUCGCAGACCUCUUUGGACGGGGAGCAAGGCCGCCGACGUGUCGGCGGAAGGAGAGUACCCGUAGAACAAGCAUCGGCUAACUCCGUGCCAGCAGCCGCGGUAAUACGGAGGAUCCGAGCGUUAUCCGGAUUUAUUGGGUUUAAAGGGAGCGUAGAUGGGUUGUUAAGUCAGUUGUGAAAGUUUGCGGCUCAACCGUAAAAUUGCAAUUGAUACUGGCAGCCUUGAGUACAGGUGAGGUAGGCGGAAUUCGUGGUGUAGCGGUGAAAUGCUUAGAUAUCACGAAGAACUCCGAUUGCGAAGGCAGCCUACUAAACUGCCACUGACAUUGAUGCUCGAAAGUGUGGGUAUCAAACAGGAUUAGAUACCCGAGUA